AUUAAUACUGUAUUGACUCAUCUAAUAUACAUCUAUCUCCGUAUCCACACAUCAUUAAAGCCACAUCACAUUCAACUAAAAUUUUGUCUCAAAUUUGAACCAUUGACAUUGCUGUGUUUACUUAACUUCAACAGUAGGAGGCUGCACUCCCAAAGUGAGGACGAUGAUGAUGAAGCAAACAUCCCUGUCAGAGCCUGGCCCAGCCAGUCCAGCCUGCACAGCACAGAUGACAUACUUAAAGAGCGUCCAGCGUCUUCAGCUAGUCAGACCAGUACAGUGGUCAACGAGCGUCUUCAGGAGCUGGUCCGGAUGUUUAAAGAGAGAACCGAGAAGGCUAAGGAGAAACUCAUUGACCCUGACAGCUCAGAUGAAGACAAGGCACAAGCAGAAAGUGGAGCAGAGGAGGAGCAGUGUGGCCGCCGCAGCAAGGUGAAAACUCCUCGAUGGAUACAAGCCUGUAUGCACUACCGCUUCCCUGCCAGCAUCGACCCCUUCACCAACCUGAUGUACGUGCUGUGGAUGCUACUGGUCACUCUGGCAUGGAACUGGAACGUGUGGUUCAUCCCUGUGCGCUGGGCGUUUCCCUACCAGACUCCAGACAAUAUUUACUACUGGCUGCUGAUCGACUACCUGUGUGACCUUAUUUACAUUCUGGACAUCAGCAUCUUUCAGCCGCGGCUGCAGUUUAUCCGAGGAGGGGACAUAUUUGAUGUAGCCAGCCUUAUUCCGCUGGAACUCUUCUAUUUUAAAACUGGCGUCAACCCUCUACUUCGCUUACCCAGACUACUGAAGAUCAACUCCUUUUUUGAGUUCAACGAGCGUCUCGAGGCCAUCUUAACCAAAGCCUACAUCUACAGGGUGAUACGUACGACCACCUACCUUCUUUACUGUCUCCACUGCAACGCCUGUCUGUACUACUGGGGCUCUGCCUUCAAUGGACUAGGAUCAACAAAAUGGGUGUAUGAUGGCAAGGGCAACAGUUACAUUCGCUGUUACUACUUUGCGGUGAAGACCCUCAUCACCAUUGGCGGUCUGCCGGACCCCACCACCCUGUUUGAGAUUGUCUUCCAACUUAUCAACUACUUUGUUGGAGUCUUCGCCUUCUCUAUCAUGAUUGGACAGAUGCGUGACGUGGUCGGUGCAGCCACAGCUGGUCAGACUUACUACCGCACAUGUAUGGACAACACGAUUAAAUACAUGUCCUCCUAUCGAAUCCCCAAAGACGUCCAAAACCGUGUCAAAACCUGGUACAACUAUACCUGGCAAUCACAAGGCAUGCUAGAUGAGCAGGAGUUACUGACUCAGUUGCCAGAUAAAAUGCGUCUGGACAUUGCUAUAGAUGUCAACUAUUCCAUCGUCAGCAAAGUCCCCCUUUUCCAGGGUUGUGACAGACAGAUGAUCUUUGACAUGCUGAAAAGCUUACGCUCCGUUGUUUACCUGCCUGGAGAUUAUGUCUGCAAAAAGGGUGAGGUGGGUCGGGAGAUGUACAUCAUAAAAGCAGGGGAGGUGCAGGUGGUUGGAGGGCCUGAUGGAAAGACAGUCUUUGUAACUCUCAGAGCAGGAUCAGUGUUUGGAGAGAUCAGUUUGCUUGCAGUAGGCGGGGUUAACAGGCGCACAGCAAACGUGAUCGCACACGGCUUUGCCAAUCUCUUCAUCCUGGACAAGAAAGACCUGAAUGAGAUCCUGGUCCACUAUCCCGAGUCCAAGAAACUGCUCCGCAAGAAGGCCAGAAAGAUGCUUGCUAAGGGAAAGAAACCUGAACCCAAAGCAGAGGCUAAGGAUCCACCUCAGGUCCCGCCAGCCCCUGUUAGGGCGGAGACCCCUAGACUGCUGAGAGCUGCCCUGGAGAUGACAGAGAGAUCGUCUGGACUUAAAGGAGCUCUGGCUAAAGUCAAAGAGAAGACCAACAAGUCCAGUAUCUCGUUACAGGUAAACAGAGUGAAAACUGAGCAGACCAAAAAAGAAACAGAUGCAUAUGUGGCAGUGGCAAAAUAAUCUCUCUUCUCUUCUCUUCUCUUCUCUUCUCUUCUCUUCCAGCCCUCCAUCUCCUCCACCCUGCCUCCUCCAUCUCCCACCUCCAGCUCAGGACCUGACAGAGACGCAGACACGCCGUCACCCAUGUCUGCCAGCUCUGCGAUGUAUCGCUCCGCUUCCCAUUGCCGCAACAACAACAACAACUCUGCCAGGCCUCACUCUCCCUCGCAGUGCCAUGGCGACGAAGACGAGAUUCUUGCCGUGAACCGAAGAGAGGAGGGUGCCAGUGAGGUUGAUGGAAGCAGAUGUGGGAAUAGGAAGGAGAAGACGUUGUGAUAAAUCUUUAAAGGAAAAGUAAAAACAUGACCAGUGUAUCUGCUGUAAAUUGACAGAAUGGUGGAGUGAAAGAGAGGGGCGGUUCUGUAAAUGAGCAUUUGAAAAUGUUUGGAACGGCUUCAAUGCAAAAAUAUCAAGGUAGUACUGUAUUACAAUCUGACCCAUGACACACUGUCUACAUCAUGCUGUGUAGUCGUUAUAUAAAAACCUGGUAUAUUUUGUCACUUUGGUCGAUGUUGCAUUAGCUGCUGUGGGAUGAGCUGUGUUUUGCAUUAGAACCUACACAUCUUGUGGGCGUCCCUGUCUGUCCCUGUAUUUCUCAAUAUGGAGUCGUAAGAACAAGUCCAGAUUCAUUCUGUUCAUUCUGUUCUCCAUUUGCUUUGCAGUGUUCUCUCAGCCUCCACCACUGUGUUCAUCUUUAUUAUUCUCAAUAUAAGAUAAUCUAAUGUAGGAGCAAGCCAUUCCCCACCUGGUUACCUCUUCAGAAUUCAUUUUUACAUCAUCUACACUGAGUUCACGUGACUGAAUUCAAUGUAGCUGUGAUGAUGACUGAAUGCUGCGUGGGAUGGCAUGGCUAAGCCAUUACAGUAAUUUAGCUGUUUAUAAUCAUUUCUACGAAACUGAACUUCUUGUCUUUCUAAAACAUACAAACAUGUUUUUGCUGUUGUUGUCUGCUAACUCUGUACGGAUUAUUUUGUAACAGUAAAACCACAAUUUGCCUUAUAAGUUUUGUCAUUUACCCAUGUCUUGUGUUGGUGUGAGUAGCUUGCAUUGCUGAUGUUUGAAACACAGUACAGACUUUGUGUUACAAAUAAAUGUUGACAGGUCAUCUGAGAUUACUUUAUA
This is a long non-coding RNA of Sparus aurata (gilthead seabream), 3156 nucleotides long. Lineage: Eukaryota; Metazoa; Chordata; Actinopteri; Spariformes; Sparidae. The record is from Ensembl.